RNAcentral lists this non-coding RNA (123 nucleotides) under human gut metagenome. Its description in RNAcentral is "FMN riboswitch (RFN element)". It matches the Rfam family "FMN riboswitch aptamer (RFN element)". Rfam says of the family: The RFN element is a highly conserved domain that is found frequently in the 5'-untranslated regions of prokaryotic mRNAs that encode for flavin mononucleotide (FMN) biosynthesis and transport proteins. This element is a metabolite-dependent riboswitch that directly binds FMN in the absence of proteins. The record is from RNAcentral.
UAUCUUCAGGGCAGGGUGUAAUUCCCGACCGGUGGUAAUAGUCCACGAAUACAAUAAAUUGAUUAUUGUAUAUGAUUUGGUUAGAUUCCAAAACCGAUAGUUAAAGUCUAGAUGAAAGAAGAA